ACGCUAGCUACAGGCUUAACACAUGCAAGUCGAGGGGCAGCAUGGUCUUAGCUUGCUAAGGCCGAUGGCGACCGGCGCACGGGUGAGUAACACGUAUCCAACCUGCCGUCUACUCUUGGACAGCCUUCUGAAAGGAAGAUUAAUACAAGAUGGCAUCAUGAGUCCACAUGUUCACAUGAUUAAAGGUAUUCCGGUAGACGAUGGGGAUGCGUUCCAUUAGAUAGUAGGCGGGGUAACGGCCCACCUAGUCUUCGAUGGAUAGGGGUUCUGAGAGGAAGGUCCCCCACAUUGGAACUGAGACACGGUCCAAACUCCUACGGGAGGCAGCAGUGAGGAAUAUUGGUCAAUGGGCGAGAGCCUGAACCAGCCAAGUAGCGUGAAGGAUGACUGCCCUAUGGGUUGUAAACUUCUUUUAUAAAGGAAUAAAGUCGGGUAUGCAUACCCGUUUGCAUGUACUUUAUGAAUAAGGAUCGGCUAACUCCGUGCCAGCAGCCGCGGUAAUACGGAGGAUCCGAGCGUUAUCCGGAUUUAUUGGGUUUAAAGGGAGCGUAGAUGGAUGUUUAAGUCAGUUGUGAAAGUUUGCGGCUCAACCGUAAAAUUGCAGUUGAUACUGGAUAUCUUGAGUGCAGUUGAGGCAGGCGGAAUUCGUGGUGUAGCGGUGAAAUGCUUAGAUAUCACGAAGAACUCCGAUUGCGAAGGCAGCCUGCUAAGCUGCAACUGACAUUGAGGCUCGAAAGUGUGGGUAUCAAACAGGAUUAGAUACCCUGGUAGUCCACACGGUAAACGAUGAAUACUCGCUGUUUGCGAUAUACAGCAAGCGGCCAAGCGAAAGCGUUAAGUAUUCCACCUGGGGAGUACGCCGGCAACGGUGAAACUCAAAGGAAUUGACGGGGGCCCGCACAAGCGGAGGAACAUGUGGUUUAAUUCGAUGAUACGCGAGGAACCUUACCCGGGCUUAAAUUGCAGAUGAAUUACGGUGAAAGCCGUAAGCCGCAAGGCAUCUGUGAAGGUGCUGCAUGGUUGUCGUCAGCUCGUGCCGUGAGGUGUCGGCUUAAGUGCCAUAACGAGCGCAACCCUUGUUGUCAGUUACUAACAGGUCAUGCUGAGGACUCUGACAAGACUGCCAUCGUAAGAUGUGAGGAAGGUGGGGAUGACGUCAAAUCAGCACGGCCCUUACGUCCGGGGCUACACACGUGUUACAAUGGGGGGUACAGAGGGCCGCUACCACGCGAGUUGAUGCCAAUCCCAAAAACCUCUCUCAGUUCGGACUGGAGUCUGCAACCCGACUCCACGAAGCUGGAUUCGCUAGUAAUCGCGCAUCAGCCACGGCGCGGUGAAUACGUUCCCGGGCCUUGUACACACCGCCCGUCAAGCCAUGGGAGCCGGGGGUACCUGAAGUGCGUAACCGCGAGGAGCGCCCUAGGGUAAAACUGGA
Molecule: ribosomal RNA, 1435 nt
Filed under: uncultured organism
Description: SSU rRNA
Rfam family: Bacterial small subunit ribosomal RNA
Source: RNAcentral